UACGUAGGGACCAAGCGUUGUUCGGAUUUACUGGGCGUAAAGGGCGCGUAGGCGGCGUGACAAGUCACUUGUGAAAUCUCCGGGCUUAACUCGGAACGGCCAAGUGAUACUGUCGUGCUAGAGUGCAGAAGGGGCAAUCGGAAUUCUUGGUGUAGCGGUGAAAUGCGUAGAUAUCAAGAGGAACACCUGCGGCGAAGGCGGGUUGCUGGGCUGACACUGACGCUGAGGCGCGAAAGCUAGGGGAGCGAACGGG
This 253-nucleotide ribosomal RNA is filed under the name uncultured bacterium. Its description in RNAcentral is "partial 16S ribosomal RNA". It matches the Rfam family "Bacterial small subunit ribosomal RNA", at positions 524 to 776 of the family's 1533-position model. The record is from RNAcentral.